Carassius carassius (crucian carp) is the source of this 209-nucleotide long non-coding RNA. RefSeq lists it as uncharacterized. The record is from RefSeq and is a predicted model, not a curated record. The transcript has 3 exons. Lineage: Eukaryota; Metazoa; Chordata; Actinopteri; Cypriniformes; Cyprinidae.
AAAUAUUAGCGGGAAACAAUGAACACUUUACUGAACAAGGUUUUAUUGUUGCAGAACACAAGGGCGCUGUUGUGUGCAGCAGCAUCGGUUCAAAGUCAGGUGUUAACUACACAGAUGCCUUUGGGUAAGAGAAUCUGUUGUUAUAUGUUUAAUUUUCAUAUAUGUAUGUGUUUACAUGUAUAGGUAACUGACAGUAAUCAAGUGAUUUU